Molecule: ribosomal RNA, 482 nt
Filed under: uncultured bacterium
Lineage: Bacteria
Description: partial 16S ribosomal RNA
Rfam family: Bacterial small subunit ribosomal RNA
Source: RNAcentral
GACGAACGCUGGCGGCGUGCUUAACACAUGCAAGUCGAACGAUGAAGAAGAGAAACGCGAACUUCGGUUCAAAUUUCACUUCGGAUUAGUGGCAGACGGGUGAGUAACGCGUGAGCAACCUACCUCUUACAAAGGGAUAGCCUCGGGAAACCGUGAUUAAUACCAUAUGACACAUUCAUAAGGCAUCUUAAGAAUGUUAAAGCUACGGCGGUAAGAGAUGGGCUCGCGUCCCAUUAGCUAGUUGGUGAGGUAACGGCCCACCAAGGCGACGAUGGGUAACCGGGCGGAGAGGGUGAACGGUCACAUUGGAACUGAGACACGGUCCAAACUCCUACGGGAGGCAGCAGUGGGGAAUAUUGCACAAUGGAGGGAACUCUGAUGCAGCGACGCCGCGUGAGCGAUGAAGGAAUUCGUUUCGUAAAGCUCUGUUCUAUGGGAAGAAAAGGACUGUACCAUAGGAGAAAGCCCCGGCUAAAUACGUG